UGGAAGUAAAAGUCGUAACAAGGUCUCCGUUGGUGAACCAGCGGAGGGAUCAUUAGAGAGUUCUCAUAAAACUCCCAAACCCAUGUGAACAUACCUUCUGUUGCCUCGGCAGGUCGCGCCGGCGCCGAACCGCGUAGCACCCCACCUCCGGUAGGGCCUACCCGGGACGAGCCGGCGGUCUCCCCUGCCGGCGGCCCACGAAACUCUGUUUUAGCAUAUUGAAUUCUGAACGUAUAACUAAAUCAGUUAAAACUUUCAACAACGGAUCUCUUGGUUCUGGCAUCGAUGAAGAACGCAGCGAAAUGCGAUAAGUAAUGUGAAUUGCAGAAUUCAGUGAAUCAUCGAAUCUUUGAACGCACAUUGCGCCCAUUAGUAUUCUAGUGGGCAUGCCUGUUCGAGCGUCAUUUCAACCCUCAAGCCCCCGUUGCUUGGUGUUGGGAGCCUACUGGGUCACCUGUAGCUCCCUAAAGUUAGUGGCGGAGUCGGUUCGCACUCUAGACGUAGUAGAUUUUCACCUCGCCUGUAGUGCCGGACCGGUCCCCUGCCGUAAAACACCCCUUAUCUCCAAAGGUUGACCUCGGAUCAGGUAGGAAUACCCGCUGAACUUAAGCAUAUCAAUAAGCGGAGGAA
This 630-nucleotide ribosomal RNA is filed under the name Xylaria sp. SAB-2009a. RNAcentral's name for it is "eukaryotic LSU rRNA". The stretch from base 251 to 404 matches the Rfam family "5.8S ribosomal RNA". The record is from RNAcentral. Lineage: Eukaryota; Fungi; Ascomycota; Sordariomycetes; Xylariales; Xylariaceae.